GAUGAACGCUAGCGGGAGGCCUAACACAUGCAAGUCGAGCGGUAGAGAUGCUUCGGAUUCUUGAGAGCGGCGUACGGGUGCGGAACACGCCUGCAACCUGCCUUUAUCAGGGGGAUAGCCUUCCGAAAGGAAGAUUAAUUCCCCAAAAUAUAUUUGAUGGCAUCAUUAGAUAUUGAAAGAUCUGGCGGAUUGAGAUGGGCACGCGCAAGAUUAGCUAGUUGGUGAGGUAACGGCUUACCAAGUCGAUGAUCUGUAGGGGGGCUGAGAGGGUGAUCCACCAGAAUGGUACUGAGACACGGACCAGACUGGUAGGGGAGGCAGGGGUGAGGAAUAUAGGACAGUGGGUUAGCGCCUGAUCCAGCCAUCCCGCGUGAAGGACGACGGCCCUAGGGGUUGUAAACUUCUUUUGUACAGGGAUAAAACUACUCUCGUGAGAGUAGCUGAAGGUACUGUACGAAUAAGCACCGGCUAACUCCGUG
RNAcentral lists this ribosomal RNA (479 nucleotides) under uncultured bacterium. RNAcentral's name for it is "partial 16S ribosomal RNA". It matches the Rfam family "Bacterial small subunit ribosomal RNA", at positions 28 to 507 of the family's 1533-position model. The record is from RNAcentral.